This 414-nucleotide long non-coding RNA is filed under the name Zonotrichia albicollis (white-throated sparrow). RNAcentral describes it as "lncRNA (ENSZALG00000005451.1)". Lineage: Eukaryota; Metazoa; Chordata; Aves; Passeriformes; Passerellidae. The record is from RNAcentral.
GAUGUCCCAAUGGAGAAACAGAAAGCAUGGAGUCAUCCUGUCACUGAAAAAUGCUCUUGCAAAGGUUCCUUAUAAAUAUAAAGAUGAAACCACUAUUGGAAGAAUAAUGUGCUGAUGGCACGGUGACUAUUCUGUUACAUGGUGACUUCUGAGAUUCUAACAUUUGCUUUUGUUCUCUGCUGGAAGGAAAACAGAAGCCUUUGUGAAGUACGAUAUUAUAUUGGUAUUCAGGGCAAAUACAGGACCUUCAGUGUGAGACUGAACAUAGUGCUGAUUGUCACUCUCACUGAACUCCUCGCUGUGACUGUGCAGCAGCAGAGAUUGCAGGCAGUGAUCUCAGCUGAAUGAAGACCAAUGCCAAAAUUCAGGCUACACAACUCAGUCAGUGUUUCUUCAGAAAACAGGAAUAGACAG